RNAcentral lists this ribosomal RNA (448 nucleotides) under uncultured bacterium. RNAcentral describes it as "partial 16S ribosomal RNA". It matches the Rfam family "Bacterial small subunit ribosomal RNA", at positions 29 to 523 of the family's 1533-position model. The record is from RNAcentral.
AGCGAACGCUGGCGGCAGGCCUAACACAUGCAAGUCGAACGAACUCUUCGGAGUUAGUGGCGGACGGGUGAGUAACACGUGGGAACGUGCCUUUAGGUUCGGAAUAACUCAGGGAAACUUGUGCUAAUACCGAAUGUGCCCUUCGGGGGAAAGAUUUAUCGCCUUUAGAGCGGCCCGCGUCUGAUUAGCUAGUUGGUGAGGUAAAGGCUCACCAAGGCGACGAUCAGUAGCUGGUCUGAGAGGAUGAUCAGCCACAUUGGGACUGAGACACGGCCCAAACUCCUACGGGAGGCAGCAGUGGGGAAUCUUGCGCAAUGGGCGAAAGCCUGACGCAGCCAUGCCGCGUGAAUGAUGAAGGUCUUAGGAUUGUAAAAUUCUUCCACCGGGGACGAUAAUGACGGUACCCGGAGAAGAAGCCCCGGCUAACUUCGUGCAGCAGCCGCGGUAA